UGGGGGUCUCCAGAACCAAUGGACCUGGACGCUGUUGAUUAGCCCUGAGCUAACAUAUGCUGCCAAUCCUCCUGUUUUUGCGAGGAAGACUGGCCCUGAGCUAACAUCCAUGCCCAUCUUCCUCUACUUUAUAUGUGGGAUGCCUGCCUCAGCAUCGCUUGCCAAGAAGUGCCAUGUCCACACCCAGGAUCCGAACCAGAGAACCCUGGGCCGCCAAAGUGGAACAUGUGCACUUAACUGCUGCACCACCAGGCUAGCCCCUCUGUGACUGUAUAUAGCACGCAGUGAAUACUUACAGCAUCCACAUGUCUGCUUCCACCAGGACCCAGGACUUCUCCAUGAAGACUUUCUAGACUUGUCUAUUCAAAGCCAACAGUGAACUUCUCCUGAAAAAGGGUUAUAUCAAUUUUAACUUUGUAUCCAAAGCAUGAGAACAAUGUGCUCCUGGAACAUAGUUUCUUCUGAGAUUUGUUGAUGAAUAAAGGAAAAGAAAUAACUGGAUAGGAAAGCUGUUCAUUUGUUUACCUUGUCAUCUUAACAGUCUGUUCAAAUAAUUUUGCCCAAUAUUUUUCAUUAUAUAACAACUAACCCUUAAGGACGUCUCCCAAGCCCAAACUAUCUCAAAAUAAUUAAAAUCGCAAUUGAAUUUAGGGAUGAGCUUAGUAUAGAAAUAGCCGCAGUAGUUGUUUCUAUUUGCUUGAACUCCACAAUGAGCUGUUUCAUGCUUCUUCACAUUUGAGAUAAUACUUCAAAUUUAUACCCACAAUGAAAUAAAGGCUUAAAAAUAAUCUGAUAUGACUUUUGAACCAUAAAAUUACUAGACUGGGUGGAGGGCUCAUUUUCUUCACAAAUUCAUUGUUCAUUUGGUACUCAUUCAUGCAAAUGUUGUAAUCUGUUUUAAAACCACUUCUAAGCUUUAAGAAAAAAAGAAAUAUAUAUAUAGUCAUGUAAACGAGGCUCUGGAAACUCUGCCUUCUGUUAAUCUUAAUAUCCUGAUGCAUUUUAUUCUGAAUAUUUUUAAGUUAUUUACUGCCAAAAAUAAUAUUAACACUUAUUCAAUAUCACUGUUUCAUGGCACCAGGCCUCAUGUGUAUCUAAAUACCUUUUUAAUCUUAUUCUUCGCUUGUAUAGAAUAUUUUAUUUCAAGGCCUGAAAUUUAUUUUUCUCAUGGAAUAAAAACAUCUUUGUUUGCUCUUUACUAUUUAAUUACAUUUUUCCUAUUCCAUACAAUUGUCAUCUAAUUGCAUUUGUUUCUGAUUGCUAAUCCAGUUAUGUUAGCAAGAAGAUGAAAUCUAUAGGAUAUUCUGGUUUGUGUAAUAAGCAAAAAUUGUCAAGUGUUGUGUGCUUCUGUCACAGAGAGACUGAUCUGCUAAAAAAAAUCUUUAUAAGUUAAGUUUAUUUUUUAUAGGUAAAAACAGUAAAGAGAGAAAUGGAGAAAACAAGUUAGCGAUCUAGAAUGAAUUCUCUCUAUUAAGGAAUAAGAAUAAAACUUUCAUAGAACUUAC
This 1505-nucleotide long non-coding RNA is filed under the name Equus caballus (horse). RNAcentral describes it as "lncRNA (ENSECAG00000045901.1)". The record is from RNAcentral. Lineage: Eukaryota; Metazoa; Chordata; Mammalia; Perissodactyla; Equidae.